Long non-coding RNA from Panonychus citri (citrus red mite), 814 nucleotides. RefSeq lists it as uncharacterized. The record is from RefSeq and is a predicted model, not a curated record. The transcript is spliced from 3 exons. Lineage: Eukaryota; Metazoa; Arthropoda; Arachnida; Trombidiformes; Tetranychidae.
UUCAAAUAAUUACUGAUUAAUUUAGUUCAAUAAUUGAACUUCAAUUGUUUUCCUUCAUUGAUUAAUUGCUGAUUAACCUUUUUAAUCUUAUUUCUAGUUAAUUGUUCUCUGUUUCUGUUUAAGGAUGAAUGAACACUUUAGAGGUCCAAAGGAUUCCAUUGAUUUACUUAAUCGCGCCUUCGCUGAGAUUGGAUUGGAUUUACCAACUAUUCAAUCAGGAUGAAUUCAAUUGAUGACGAUGAUACAUUCCUGUUCACCUCUGAAUCUGUGGGAGAGGGACAUCCAGGUAAAUUAUUAACAACUAAAUCAAUUUGAUGAUCACAAAUUUUUGGUUUGUUUUUGUUUUCAAUCUAAUUGAAUCCAUGGAAACCAAUUGUUUAUUUUAAUUCAUCAACAUUGUUAACAAUAAUAUCUGAUUUAUUAAGAGUUUUAAUUGUUGAGUAAAUUAUUAUUCUUGUUUUUUAUUCACUCGUUUAAAUUAUUAGGAAACAAAUAAUUAUGAAACGUGUACUCACUAUACCUGAACGAACCCAUGGUUCGGGUCCUGUGUUCAUAAUUUGGCAGCCGAAUAAAGCAAGUUACCUGGUUACAAUGGGCUAUGAUAAUACGGUGAUAGUUCAUGAUUGACAUGGAAAUAAAAUCGAUACAAUUAAUUUACCAGGUCAGUGUACUGGACUUUCAUGGAAUGUUGAAGGUAAUAUUUUAGGUGCAAUUAGUGGUAAAUCACCGAUAAUUUACCUUUGGGAUUCGAGUGUCCAUAAGAUGUCUAGAGUUGACACCGAUGUUCGUGACAUGUUAACCAUGUUGGUUUGGU